AGAACGAACGCUGGCGGCAUGCCUAACACAUGCAAGUCGGACGCUUUCGGGGGUUUCGGCCUCCGAGGGAGUGGCGGACGGGUGAGUAGCGCGUGGGAACCUGCCCCUUUGUGGGGGAUAACCGAGGGAAACUUCGGCUAAUACCGCAUGCGCCCGGGGGUAACUCCGGGGAAAGAUUUAUCGCCGGAGGAUUGGCCCGCGUUCGAUUAGCUAGUUGGUGAGGUAACGGCUCACCAAGGCGAUGAUCGAUAGCUGGUCUGAGAGGAUGAUCAGCCACAUUGGGACUGAGACACGGCCCAAACUCCUACGGGAGGCAGCAGUGGGGAAUAUUGGACAAUGGGCGCAAGCCUGAUCCAGCCAUGCCGCGUGAGUGAUGACGGCCUUAGGGUUGUAAAGCUCUUUCGCUCGGGACGAUAAUGACGGUACCGAGAUAAGAGCCCCGGCUAACUUCGUCGCCAGCAGCCGC
Molecule: ribosomal RNA, 466 nt
Filed under: uncultured bacterium
Lineage: Bacteria
Description: SSU rRNA
Rfam family: Bacterial small subunit ribosomal RNA
Source: RNAcentral